Dicentrarchus labrax (European seabass) is the source of this 1672-nucleotide long non-coding RNA. RefSeq lists it as uncharacterized. Lineage: Eukaryota; Metazoa; Chordata; Actinopteri; Moronidae. The record is from RefSeq and is a predicted model, not a curated record. The transcript has 2 exons.
UGACAUCAUGCAGUAUACAUCCCGUCAUGUGAAACCAAGAUGAGUGCAACUUAUGUUUUUGUUAAUUUGUAGGUAAUGCCAUUUGGUAUCUCACUAUAAUGACUGUCAGUAGGCAGGCAAGUCCAGGUGCUUUGCACAAAAACAACACGGGGAUCUUUGCCGAAAAAACAAAAACAACAAAUGUGUCUGGGAACUAUGUACGCUCUGUUAAUUAGAGCUGAGAUAGCAGAGAUUAGUCUUCAAGCACAACCAUAUUACAGAGAGUCAUGCCAAAUAAGGAAAAACAAAAGUAGGAGACAGGCAGACUCACUACAAAAACAAUGUCCCAAAGCUACUAAUCAAACAACUCCCAAUCUAGAUCUAGACCUCAGAUUACACUAAUGAAUUCUAAUUCUUAUGUUUUAGCAUGUAAAUAUGUAUUAAAAUGGGAGACGGAGACAAUCCCUGCCUACAGCAAAGGUUUUAGCAUAAAUGAUCUGUACUUGUGAGCUUCAUGCUGCACCUUUGAAGCAUUUUUAAAGCAGCAGGAUUUUGUUGCUGUAUCCUCAAAUCAGUUUUUUGGGGGUUUGCCAUUUAACAUGGCAUUUAUUUUUUUUCAAUGAACAUUAUCAGCUUUCUUACCUCUGAGGAAGAUAGAUUCAGCUGGCUCUGUUCCUCAGCAACCACAGAGUAGCUGAGCGCUUUGUCUGGUUGAUAUUAUCAACCAAAAACCUGGACGACACGUGCAGCCGUCCGGACGGCGUGGUUGCAGAAAUGAUAUAAAACACAUCUUAAAAAUGAAUCACUACGUAGUUGAUCCAUUCUGAACCAAAAGCCCAGCAAAGAAGUAUUUACUGUAGGAAGCAGAGGCCUGCGGGCUGGACAGGCACAAUAAUUUCAAGUGUUGGAUGCAGGGGAGGUCUAGUGUUUCUUGAAAUAAAAAUCAAUUACCAUUGCAGUGUUGUUUAAUCUGUUUUAGCUCUGUAGUGUGAGACAUUUGGAGAUUUAAAGCUAGCCUUUUGCUAUAACUUUAGUACUGCUGAACAGUGGCUGUUGCAGCCACAGUGACAAUUUCAGGAUAAUGGGAAAAUGUAGUGUACCGGCAGCACAGAGCAGUAUCAGUAAUUAAGUCAGCAGUCUCAGUAAUCAGGGGCGUGUCGGGGGGGUGGCACUGGAAAUAUGGCCACCCCAAGUCUCACCCCAUUAUCCUUACCUCUGACACUCCACACUGUCUUUCAGAGGCUCUAGAUGACCUAACACAUCCAUUGCUACCAACCAUGUCAUACUUGCAUGUCAGGAAGGGGACUAAAUAACGCUCCAAAUUCAGGCUACGUUUUUGCCAUCUAAAAACUGGCAUUGCCAUUUUUAAAGGCAUCCUUUGACCUUUGACCUUUGAGCUUAAGAUAUGGGAAUGAAAACAGAUUAUAUCAUACACUUUAUGCUAAUUCCAUGCUGUUUUGUGUUUCAUACCAGGACAAAGAAGGCUGUAGCAGCAAACUACAGUGAAGACAACGAGUGGACCAGCAUCUUCGGACUGUAAACCAUGCUGACAUUCCUGUGCUGAGAAACUACAAACAUACAAGGGAGACAUUCCUAAAAUCUGAGGGCUGUCAGACUGCACCCAACCCGCAAACACACAAACGAUGAAUUCCUGCACUACAGCUUGUACCAAUGAAUAAAAAAUAAAGUGAAA